GAGGCCCUACGGGAGGCAGCAGUAGGGGAUAUUGCACAAUGGGGGAAACCCUGAUGCAGCGACGCCGCGUGGGUGAAGAAGCGCCUCGGCGCGUAAAGCCCUGUCAGCAGGGAAGAAAAUGACGGUAGCUAAAGAAGAAGCCCCGGCUAACUACGUGCCAGCAGCCGCGGUAAUACGUAGGGGGCAAGCGUUAUCCGGAUUUACUGGGUGUAAAGGGGGCGCAGACGGCGAUGGAAGCCAGGAGUGAAAGCCCG
Molecule: ribosomal RNA, 254 nt
Filed under: uncultured bacterium
Lineage: Bacteria
Description: partial 16S ribosomal RNA
Rfam family: Bacterial small subunit ribosomal RNA
Source: RNAcentral